Non-coding RNA from Pelobates cultripes (western spadefoot toad), 81 nucleotides. The record is from the annotation of a GenBank genome assembly. NCBI's taxonomy places the organism in Eukaryota, Metazoa, Chordata, Amphibia, Anura, Pelobatidae.
UGUACCCGGCUGGACUAACAGGAAGUGCACACUCAGUGUAGAACACUCAGUGUGCACUUCCUGUUAGUCCGGCCGGGUACA